This 90-nucleotide transfer RNA is filed under the name Candidatus Aquarickettsia rohweri. RNAcentral's name for it is "tRNA-Ser". It matches the Rfam family "tRNA". From Rfam's summary of the family: Transfer RNA (tRNA) molecules are approximately 80 nucleotides in length. The record is from RNAcentral. Lineage: Bacteria; Pseudomonadati; Pseudomonadota; Alphaproteobacteria; Rickettsiales; Candidatus Midichloriaceae.
GGAAGGGUGGCCGAGCGGCUUAAGGCGCACGCUUGGAAAGCGUGUUUACCCUCACAGGUAACAAGGGUUCGAAUCCCUUUCCUUCCGCCA